RNAcentral lists this ribosomal RNA (379 nucleotides) under uncultured eukaryote. Its description in RNAcentral is "partial 18S ribosomal RNA". It matches the Rfam family "Eukaryotic small subunit ribosomal RNA", at positions 592 to 975 of the family's 1831-position model. The record is from RNAcentral.
CAAUAGCGUAUAUUAAAGUUGUUGCGGUUAAAAAGCUCGUAGUUGGAUUUCUGCCGAGGACGACCGGUCCGCCCUCUGGGUGAGUAUCUGGCUCGGCCUGGGCAUCUUCUUGGAGAACGUAGCUGCACUUGACUGUGUGGUGCGGUAUCCAGGACUUUUACUUUGAGGAAAUUAGAGUGUUUCAAGCAGGCUUACGCCUUGAAUACAUUAGCAUGGAAUAAUAAGAUAGGACCUCGGUUCUAUUUUGUUGGUUUCUAGAGCUGAGGUAAUGAUUAAUAGGGAUAGUUGGGGGCAUUCGUAUUUAACUGUCAGAGGUGAAAUUCUUGGAUUUGUUAAAGGCGGACUACUGCGAAAGCAUUUGCCAAGGAUGUUUUCAUUG